Molecule: long non-coding RNA, 3989 nt
Organism: Monodelphis domestica (gray short-tailed opossum)
Lineage: Eukaryota; Metazoa; Chordata; Mammalia; Didelphimorphia; Didelphidae
Source: RefSeq, a predicted model, not a curated record
UACUUGGGGCAUAGGAGCUAUGAGAGAGCAACCUAGCACCACCCUACCAUGUCUCUGCUUCUCCAGACUAUUGUUCUCACACUGAAGAUCAUUCUUUGAAGUGAAGGCAGAAAUGAAAUAAAUUGGAUAGUUCUUUCUCUCAGUCUUCUGUUAACAUUGUUGCCAUAAUUCCAAACUGCUGUGCUGGCUCCUAUUUGAUGCCCUGAAUUUUUGUCGACUACUCAUUUUCUCUUUUGUCUUGGGUGGGAGAAGACAAGAUAAGGGCUUGAAGUGAAUGAAAAGGAGAUUGAAAAGUUAAUUGGGAAAGUUUGGGACUUGUAAAGAAAGUCAGACAUUGUACCCAGGGAAGAAACAAAGAAAAACUGGAUGAGAGAAGGGCUUAAUAAGAAGGAACAGCAAGGACCUGACUUGAAGGACUCAAGAAGAAGUAAAAGGAAGAAAGGUCUACUCUAACAAGAUUAACAGGUCAGUUUCUCCAGUUCAGAAAAACAAGUAUUAUUUUUUGUGUGGACACCCAAAGAAGUGAGAUUCAAUUUCCCAAGGAUAAAGGUAACCAGGUUGUCCCCAUUUAAUCAUGAGACCUGGAAGCAGCUUUCCAAAAAUAAAAAAAGACUAAAAACAACAACAACAACACAGAGGGAUAGGCUCAUCUUGAUCCACUGAAGGGUAAUCCUAUGACCUAACAUAAAACAACAAGGGUCCAAGAACAUGAAGACAAAGGAUGCAACCAGGCAAGUUGCUGAAAUGUUGGGAAGGAGCAGAUGGUCUUCAGACUUCUACAUAAGAAGAAAGAAGAUCAAUCGUGAUUCUUUAAGAGACUGCUAGAAAAAGAUCUGAAUUCUAAGAAUGUACCAGCAGUCAAAGACAGAGGAGUCAAAUAUAAACCAAGGCUUCACAAUCAUCUCAACAGAAAAAAAAAGAGCACAAAAACUGCACCAGGAUUCCUAUGCUCUUGAGAAGGAAGAGGAGUUCACAAGAAAACAAAGGGUGGGCAGGAUACUAGUACAAACUAAAAAUAAAUAAAGAAACUCAGUGACAAGAAAUGCUGAGAAUAUACAGAAUAUAGAAGGGAAGGGGGGAGAAAAAGUUUUUCUAAUGAGAUACACUGUUGCUUUCAAAUAGCUAUUCUGUUCAGUGUUCCAUGACCCUCUUGUGCCUCUUCUAAUAAACACCUACCUGAGCAAAAUAUUUCUGACUCUUUUUAUAUUGAAGAAUAGGGCUAGAAAUUCAAAAUACAGUGCUAUAAUUGAAGUAUUUCUAAAAUUGUGGUUUAGUAGUAGCAAAAGCUGAAACUACCCUGAAAAUCCUUCUAAACUAAAAUUGUGUUUUAUCCACCAAGUCAACAGAAUAUAUGUACACAUACACACAGAGGCAUAUUCCAUCUACCCAUAUUAAUUGGCUAUACAGAAAUCCAUUAAGUAAAAUAACAGAGGUUUUGUAGAAACCGUUUUAUACACAUUAUAAAUAUGUUAAAUGUCAAAUACUAUCACGGAUGAAUUUUUAGAGGAAGCUAGGUAAUGAAGGAGUUAGAGAACUAGGCUAGAGUCAGGAAGAUUUGAAUUCAAAUCUAGAAUCAAAUGGCCACAUGGAAAAAAAAAAGACCAGGAAAAGUCAAUUAACCUUUGUUUGCCUCAGUUUUCUUAACUAUAAAUCUGGGAUAACAAUAGCACCUACCUCACAAGAUUAAUGUGAUGAUCAAAUAAGAUAUCUGUAAAGUACAUAGCACAUAGCAGGUGCUAGACAAAUGCUUCUUCCCUUUCCUUCUGACUUUAUACUAGAUGAUUGCCCACAGGAUAUUAAGUUGGUCAUGAAGCGUUUAGAAAGCCCUUUACUAUAUGACAGUGUUGGGAAUCCAUAAGCUAAGCAGUGAGAAUACAAAAAAGGGGGGAACAAAAACAGUACCUACCUUCAGAGAGAGAGAGAAUAUGCAAGUUAUUAUGUCCAUUACAAAAUAUGUACAAUGUAAGUGGAAAGUUAUUUCAGAGGAAAGACAUAAUAGCCUUCCCAGAGGAGACUGGGAAAAGUCUGUUUAGUAAAACCUCAUGAAUGGUAUAGCUACAAAAUCUUCAAAGAAAAAUAUCCAGAUUAUAGGGAAAACACAACAUGCCUUAAUCUUUUAAGAGAAGUAAAGUCCAGAUGGGUAACCUGAGGUAUUAAAGAGGUCAAAUCAAAUUCUAAUCUCUUUAAAUAAAAUGGAAUAUUAACAAGAUGAUUAAUAUCUUUUUCACCAGAGGUAUCAAACAAAGGGUGGCCUCACAUUAAUCAAAUUAAAACAUAAUUGGGAAAAGUUUAAUAAAAGUACAAUCAAAUAUAGAUAUUAAUAUGUGGUUUUCUAAGUCAAUAUAAAGCCUGUAAGAAUCCUUAUAUAUGGCUGAAUAUCCCAUCCCUUUUUCUUUUUGAGUUUGACACAACCUCUUAAUGACAAGUUUCCAUUUUAGUUCUUUCACCUUAAAUAUUCCUAGUUCAACAUACUCUUAAAUUUGAAAAUUUGGGGCAGCUAAGUGGCUCAAAUGGAGAGCCAAGACAUUUAUACACAGGAGGUCCUGUGUAUAAACCUGGCCUCAGACAUUUCCCAGCUAUGUGACCCUGGGCAAGUUACUUAACCUUAAUUGCCUAACCUUUAUCACUUUUCUGUCUUGUAAUCGAUAUUGAGUAUCAGUUCUAAGACAGAAGGUAAGGGUUAAACCAAAAAAAGAAAUUGAACACUUAAAAUCCCUAUUGCAAAAAUGGAUUUUAUUGGUCAUUAUUUGCUAACAAAGCAACUUCUUAAGCAAGGAGAAAGGGACAUAUUUUCUUAAUCUUGUCAAUAGAAAUGAUAUCAUAUCCUUGCAUGCUAAAGAGAAAAAAUUCUGAGUCAAUUGAAAGCAGUAAGCCCACAACUCUGCAAUCUUCCCUCUGAAUGAAGUAUUGUACAUCACCACAGAAUCUAUCAUACAUGUACUUAAGUAAAGUACUUGGCUAGAUCUUUAAAUUUUUUUACCUCGGUGUUUUUACUAAUCAAUAAUCAGUCUAAUUGUCAGCUCUUAAGAGUCAGCAGGGUAGCAACAAUCUCAAAUUGUAUUUAUACAUUAGCCCUUUUUGACCUAGUUUUAUACUCUUGGCACUCCAGUGGCCCUUAAAGCAAUAUCCUGACUAUUCAGUCUAUAAAGCUAAAGAAUUCCUCACUGAAUGUGGAAGAUAACAAAAAAGGUAGCCUCUAGAGUUUCAAUGGCAUACGUAGCAGCAUACCUUCAUUUAAUUCGUCCCAUAAUGAAUGAACUGCAGAGAGUUGAAAGAGGAAAAAAAAAAGACCUCUAGAAUCACACUUACAUGAGAAGCUAUUUUUAAUCUACUCUCUAGGAAGAAGAGGCAGUAAACAUCUUGUUCCAUCUCAGAUGGGGGUGGAUUGCUGCCUUCAGCAAACUUCUAUUCAUGGUUACUAGAAGUACAAUGAGGAAUUACUAUGGAUUUUUGGGUACAAACAUCUACUUUAAGUGGAUUAUUUUGGCUGAUAAAGAAAAUAUAAAUUAGAGACCAGUUAGGAGCAGCUAGGUGGUACAGUGGAUAGAGUGUUAGGUGUGGAGACUCAUCUUCUUGAGUUUAAAUCUGGCCUUAGAUAUAUGCUAGUUGUGUGACCCUGGGCAAGUCACUUCACCCUGUUUGUGUCCAUUUUCUCAUCUGUAAAAUAAACAGGAAAAGGAAAUAGUACAUCACUCUAGGAUCUUUGCCAAGAAAAACCUCAAAUGGUGUCAUGAAGACUUGGAUAUGACUGAAAUGACUGAACAAAAACAAAAAAGGAAAAUAACUUUAGAGGAAAAGGCUUAAAGACGUGAGGGCUGUAGCAAGGCCCAGGAAAAGCCUCUUGCAAAAACAGGUCAAUUAAGGUGAGUAUUCAAGAAAGUCAGGAAUUCAUAGAAGCGAACAAGGGAAUGCAGUCCAAGUGUGGUGGAGAGUUAUUGUAAAGGCGUGGAGUUAGGUCAUGAAAAGAAUAGCAAGCAAAGCAGUAUAGC